AGCCCCAGCGGGACGGCGGCGAGUGGGUUUGGGAGCCGGGCCGGGACACGCGAGGCGACGGGGAGCUCACCGCAAGGCUGGAGGCCCGGAGGCUGCGUCCCCAAGCGCGCUGGGAGCCGAGAGACGGAGAGCGAGCGCUCUGCAGCGGGCGGUGGACGCGCUGAAGGCACCAACCCUGGAGAAGCUUCUGCUGGUGCUUGGACAUGCGCCUGGACCUUGGAGGGCUCUGCUGCCUGGGUGAGGACCCUGUUCCCACCCUGGCUGGAAACAAGGGACCCCGGCCCCCCGCCGGACACGGGGACUCCGACGGCACAAGACACCCACGCCAUGUGAUCGAUAAACCAGAAGUCAGUCGGAAAGUCUGGACUAAGACACCUUUAAGCAACGUUCUUGGCAUCUCUCUCGGAGGCGACACCGGCCUGCGAGGGGACACCUGCUGGGCCCCUCACUGCAGGCCCUGAAGAGCGGACUCUGUCGCUGCGGGGCAGGUGCACGGACACGGCCCACGCCUCCGCCUCCAGAGCUCUCCGGGACCCUCUGGGGCAGCUCAGCCUGCGCUCCCAGCCCAAUACCUUAUCAGGGGAUGGGGCGGCCACCACCACAGAGCUUGCUCCACCAGGAGCUCCCCGCUGAGGACCCCGACUGUCCCUGCUCAGCCCCCCUCCGAGCCAGCCGCCUGGGAGAGAGGCACCUGGAGCCCUGCACCCCAGCUCUGCGGAUGCACCCCAGCCCCUCUGAGCCCCACCCCUCCCCCAAGGGGAGAUGGGAACUAAAACGGCCUGGGAGGUCUGGGCCUGCAGCACAGCUCUCUGUGCCGGGGGACACCGGGCCCUGCCCUGGGGUCUGGAGACACUCACCGCUGUGGGCUGGGUGGGCUGCCCGCCUCAGUUCUGAGCCGGCGGAGAUCUCCUGGGCCACAGGCUGCAGCAGCUCACCUGGGGGCUGGGGUCUCGGGCAGCCCUGGCCUGCUGCAGCUCAGGCUGGGGGGCAGCUGGGGCGCGCGGCUGAGCCCGAGGAGAUGUGGGGCCCUGGGGCUGGGGGCUGGAAUCCGGCUGCUCGUCCUCAAGUUCAGGGGUGACUCUUCGGCCCCUGGGGAAAAUAAAGAGUGUGUUC
RNAcentral lists this unclassified non-coding RNA (1113 nucleotides) under Sus scrofa (pig). RNAcentral describes it as "insulin-like growth factor 2 antisense RNA". Lineage: Eukaryota; Metazoa; Chordata; Mammalia; Artiodactyla; Suidae. The record is from RNAcentral.